AAGCCGAUGAAGGACGUUACUAACGACGAUAUGCUUUGGGGAGCUGUAAGUAAGCUUUGAUCCAGAGAUUUCCGAAUGGGGAAACCCAGCAUGAGUUAUGUCAUGUUAUCGAUAUGUGAAUACAUAGCAUAUCAGAAGGCACACCCGGAGAACUGAAACAUCUUAGUACCCGGAGGAAGAGAAAGAAAAUUCGAUUCCCUUAGUAGCGGCGAGCGAAACGGGAAGAGCCCAAACCAACAAGCUUGCUUGUUGGGGUUGUAGGACACUCUAUACGGAGUUACAAAGGACGACAUUAGACGAAUCAUCUGGAAAGAUGAAUCAAAGAAGGUAAUAAUCCUGUAGUCGAAAAUGUUGUCUCUCUUGAGUGGAUCCUGAGUACGACGGAGCACGUGAAAUUCCGUCGGAAUCUGGGAGGACCAUCUCCUAAGGCUAAAUACUCUCUAGUGACCGAUAGUGAACCAGUACCGUGAGGGAAAGGUGAAAAGCACCCCGGAAGGGGAGUGAAAUAGAACCUGAAACCGUGUGCUUACAAGUAGUCAGAGCCCGUUAAUGGGUGAUGGCGUGCCUUUUGUAGAAUGAACCGGCGAGUUACGAUUUGAUGCAAGGUUAAGCAGUAAAUGUGGAGCCGUAGCGAAAGCGAGUCUGAAUAGGGCGUUUAGUAUUUGGUCGUAGACCCGAAACCAGGUGAUCUACCCUUGGUCAGGUUGAAGUUCAGGUAACACUGAAUGGAGGACCGAACCGACUUACGUUGAAAAGUGAGCGGAUGAACUGAGGGUAGCGGAGAAAUUCCAAUCGAACCUGGAGAUAGCUGGUUCUCUCCGAAAUAGCUUUAGGGCUAGCCUCAAGUGAUGAUUAUUGGAGGUAGAGCACUGUUUGGACGAGGGGCCCCUCUCGGGUUACCGAAUUCAGACAAACUCCGAAUGCCAAUUAAUUUAACUUGGGAGUCAGAACAUGGGUGAUAAGGUCCGUGUUCGAAAGGGAAACAGCCCAGACCACCAGCUAAGGUCCCAAAAUAUAUGUUAAGUGGAAAAGGAUGUGGCGUUGCCCAGACAACUAGGAUGUUGGCUUAGAAGCAGCCAUCAUUUAAAGAGUGCGUAAUAGCUCACUAGUCGAGUGACACUGCGCCGAAAAUGUACCGGGGCUAAACAUAUUACCGAAGCUGUGGAUUGUCCUUUGGACAAUGGUAGGAGAGCGUUCUAAGGGCGUUGAAGCAUGAUCGUAAGGACAUGUGGAGCGCUUAGAAGUGAGAAUGCCGGUGUGAGUAGCGAAAGACGGGUGAGAAUCCCGUCCACCGAUUGACUAAGGUUUCCAGAGGAAGGCUCGUCCGCUCUGGGUUAGUCGGGUCCUAAGCUGAGGCCGACAGGCGUAGGCGAUGGAUAACAGGUUGAUAUUCCUGUACCACCUAUAAUCGUUUUAAUCGAUGGGGGGACGCAGUAGGAUAGGCGAAGCGUGCGAUUGGAUUGCACGUCUAAGCAGUAAGGCUGAGUAUUAGGCAAAUCCGGUACUCGUUAAGGCUGAGCUGUGAUGGGGAGAAGACAUUGUGUCUUCGAGUCGUUGAUUUCACACUGCCGAGAAAAGCCUCUAGAUAGAAAAUAGGUGCCCGUACCGCAAACCGACACAGGUAGUCAAGAUGAGAAUUCUAAGGUGAGCGAGCGAACUCUCGUUAAGGAACUCGGCAAAAUGACCCCGUAACUUCGGGAGAAGGGGUGCUCUUUAGGGUUAACGCCCAGAAGAGCCGCAGUGAAUAGGCCCAAGCGACUGUUUAUCAAAAACACAGGUCUCUGCUAAACCGUAAGGUGAUGUAUAGGGGCUGACGCCUGCCCGGUGCUGGAAGGUUAAGAGGAGUGGUUAGCUUCUGCGAAGCUACGAAUCGAAGCCCCAGUAAACGGCGGCCGUAACUAUAACGGUCCUAAGGUAGCGAAAUUCCUUGUCGGGUAAGUUCCGACCCGCACGAAAGGCGUAACGAUUUGGGCACUGUCUCAACGAGAGACUCGGUGAAAUCAUAGUACCUGUGAAGAUGCAGGUUACCCGCGACAGGACGGAAAGACCCCGUGGAGCUUUACUGUAGCCUGAUAUUGAAAUUCGGCACAGCUUGUACAGGAUAGGUAGGAGCCUUUGAAACGUGAGCGCUAGCUUACGUGGAGGCGCUGGUGGGAUACUACCCUAGCUGUGUUGGCUUUCUAACCCGCACCACUUAUCGUGGUGGGAGACAGUGUCAGGCGGGCAGUUUGACUGGGGCGGUCGCCUCCUAAAAGGUAACGGAGGCGCUCAAAGGUUCCCUCAGAAUGGUUGGAAAUCAUUCAUAGAGUGUAAAGGCAUAAGGGAGCUUGACUGCGAGACCUACAAGUCGAGCAGGGUCGAAAGACGGACUUAGUGAUCCGGUGGUUCCGCAUGGAAGGGCCAUCGCUCAACGGAUAAAAGCUACCCCGGGGAUAACAGGCUUAUCUCCCCCAAGAGUUCACAUCGACGGGGAGGUUUGGCACCUCGAUGUCGGCUCAUCGCAUCCUGGGGCUGUAGUCGGUCCCAAGGGUUGGGCUGUUCGCCCAUUAAAGCGGUACGCGAGCUGGGUUCAGAACGUCGUGAGACAGUUCGGUCCCUAUCCGUCGUGGGCGUAGGAAAUUUGAGAGGAGCUGUCCUUAGUACGAGAGGACCGGGAUGGACAUACCUCUGGUGUACCAGUUGUCGUGCCAACGGCAUAGCUGGGUAGCUAUGUGUGGACGGGAUAAGUGCUGAAAGCAUCUAAGCAUGAAGCCCCCCUCAAGAUGAGAUUUCCCAACUUCGGUUAUAAGAUCCCUCAAAGAUGAUGAGGUUAAUAGGUUCGAGGUGGAAGCAUGGUGACAUGUGGAGCUGACGAAUACUAAUCGAUCGAAGACUUAAUCAA
RNAcentral lists this ribosomal RNA (2881 nucleotides) under Staphylococcus aureus DAR5878. RNAcentral describes it as "bacterial LSU rRNA". It matches the Rfam family "Bacterial large subunit ribosomal RNA". Lineage: Bacteria; Bacillati; Bacillota; Bacilli; Caryophanales; Staphylococcaceae. The record is from RNAcentral.